Priapulus caudatus is the source of this 198-nucleotide long non-coding RNA. RefSeq lists it as uncharacterized. The record is from RefSeq and is a predicted model, not a curated record. The transcript is spliced from 4 exons. Lineage: Eukaryota; Metazoa; Priapulida; Priapulimorpha; Priapulimorphida; Priapulidae.
CGUUCGGGAAGUGCUGGGAGUCACAGCGAGGAGGACGGACGGAGAGUCAAGCGAAAGAAAGCGAAGAAACCGCGUAAACGCAAAAGGGGAAAACCUAUCUGAUAUGCUGAUGCAAGAGUUAAAAUACGGGAAGGUCGCCAUCCCAAGACUCUCCGAAGAAAAGAAGAGGAGAAGUGAGUCGUGUGUGAAGGGCGGUAA